This 669-nucleotide ribosomal RNA is filed under the name Henriciella algicola. Its description in RNAcentral is "bacterial SSU rRNA". It matches the Rfam family "Bacterial small subunit ribosomal RNA", at positions 105 to 807 of the family's 1533-position model. The record is from RNAcentral. Lineage: Bacteria; Pseudomonadati; Pseudomonadota; Alphaproteobacteria; Hyphomonadales; Hyphomonadaceae.
GGUGAGUAACAGCAGUGGGAACGUACCCUUCACUACGGAAUAGCUUCUGGAAACGGAAGGUAAUACCGUAUACGCCCUCCGGGGGAAAGAUUUAUCGGUGAAGGAUCGGCCCGCGUUAGAUUAGUUUGUUGGUGGGGUAAUGGCCUACCAAGACUACGAUCUAUAGCUGGUCUGAGAGGAUGAUCAGCCACACUGGGACUGAGACACGGCCCAGACUCCUACGGGAGGCAGCAGUGGGGAAUCUUGCACAAUGGGCGAAAGCCUGAUGCAGCCAUGCCGCGUGAAUGAUGAAGGCCUUAGGGUUGUAAAAUUCUUUCGCCAGGGAUGAUAAUGACAGUACCUGGUAAAGAAGCCCCGGCUAACUUCGUGCCAGCAGCCGCGGUAAUACGAAGGGGGCUAGCGUUGUUCGGAAUUACUGGGCGUAAAGCGCGCGUAGGCGGGCUAUUAAGCCAGAUGUGAAAGCCCGGGGCUCAACCUCGGAAUUGCAUUUGGAACUGGUAGCCUAGAGACCAGGAGAGGUUAGCGGAAUACCGAGUGUAGAGGUGAAAUUCGUAGAUAUUCGGUGGAACACCAGUGGCGAAGGCGGCUAACUGGACUGGUACUGACGCUGAGGCGCGAAAGUGUGGGGAGCAAACAGGAUUAGAUACCCUGGUAGUCCACACCGUAAAC